Molecule: ribosomal RNA, 1343 nt
Filed under: Lactiplantibacillus plantarum
Lineage: Bacteria; Bacillati; Bacillota; Bacilli; Lactobacillales; Lactobacillaceae
Description: bacterial SSU rRNA
Rfam family: Bacterial small subunit ribosomal RNA
Source: RNAcentral
GUGGGAAACCUGCCCAGAAGCGGGGGAUAACACCUGGAAACAGAUGCUAAUACCGCAUAACAACUUGGACCGCAUGGUCCGAGUUUGAAAGAUGGCUUCGGCUAUCACUUUUGGAUGGUCCCGCGGCGUAUUAGCUAGAUGGUGGGGUAACGGCUCACCAUGGCAAUGAUACGUAGCCGACCUGAGAGGGUAAUCGGCCACAUUGGGACUGAGACACGGCCCAAACUCCUACGGGAGGCAGCAGUAGGGAAUCUUCCACAAUGGACGAAAGUCUGAUGGAGCAACGCCGCGUGAGUGAAGAAGGGUUUCGGCUCGUAAAACUCUGUUGUUAAAGAAGAACAUAUCUGAGAGUAACUGUUCAGGUAUUGACGGUAUUUAACCAGAAAGCCACGGCUAACUACGUGCCAGCAGCCGCGGUAAUACGUAGGUGGCAAGCGUUGUCCGGAUUUAUUGGGCGUAAAGCGAGCGCAGGCGGUUUUUUAAGUCUGAUGUGAAAGCCUUCGGCUCAACCGAAGAAGUGCAUCGGAAACUGGGAAACUUGAGUGCAGAAGAGGACAGUGGAACUCCAUGUGUAGCGGUGAAAUGCGUAGAUAUAUGGAAGAACACCAGUGGCGAAGGCGGCUGUCUGGUCUGUAACUGACGCUGAGGCUCGAAAGUAUGGGUAGCAAACAGGAUUAGAUACCCUGGUAGUCCAUACCGUAAACGAUGAAUGCUAAGUGUUGGGAGGGUUUCCGCCCUUCAGUGCUGCAGCUAACGCAUUAAGCAUUCCGCCUGGGGAGUACGGCCGCAAGGCUGAAACUCAAAGGAAUUGACGGGGGCCCGCACAAGCGGUGGAGCAUGUGGUUUAAUUCGAAGCUACGCGAAGAACCUUACCAGGUCUUGACAUACUAUGCAAAUCUAAGAGAUUAGACGUUCCCUUCGGGGACAUGGAUACAGGUGGGUGCAUGGGUUGUCGUCCAGCUCCUGUCCUGGAAAAGUUGGGGUUAAAUCCCCCCACCAAGCGCAACCCCUUAUUAUCAAUUUGCCACCCAUUAAAUUUGGGCACUCUUGGUGAGACUGCCCGGUGACAAACCCGAGGAAGAGGGGGGGAGGAGGUUCAAAACAUUCUAUGCCCCCUUAUUAACCGGGGGGUACCACCUCGGCUCCAAUUGGAGGGGGGCCACACAAAUUUCGGAACUCCCCGAGAGAAAAGCUAAAUUCCUUUAAAACCAUUUCUCAUUUUUCCGAAUUUGUAAGGGGGCAACUCCCCUCCACUUAAAAAUCGGAGAUACCUUUUUUAUUUUCCCGGAUUACCAAAUCCCCCCCCGGUGAAAAACAUUUUCCCGGGCCCUUGUGGACCACCC